RNAcentral lists this long non-coding RNA (493 nucleotides) under Nicotiana benthamiana. Its description in RNAcentral is "long non-coding RNA (NBEN_LNC032975)". The record is from RNAcentral. Lineage: Eukaryota; Viridiplantae; Streptophyta; Magnoliopsida; Solanales; Solanaceae.
UCCCACACAACUCCUCAACUCCUCAAUAUUCUGAAUUAUCCCCCCCUUCCUCUCCAUAUAUUUUCUUCUAUCUCUCCUCUCUCUCCAUAAAAAGUGAAAAAAAAAACCUAAAAAUUAUUUCAUUAUUUUAUUUCACAUAGUGACUGCUGUCGGUUCAACGCAGGUCCUUAGCACCCUCUCCGAUCUCCUUUUAUGCGGCUUUGUCAAGGAAGCAAGCCAACGUAUUCGUCAGCCAAGCUUCGAGUAGUUUUUUAACCACUGGAGCCUCUUCUAUUGUGCACGUAGAAUCUCCUUCACCGUGGGACGUUACAAUACUACCAUGAGGAACGGAUGAGCCAUUUCGUCUGGGAGAGGCAUUUGGUAUUAUAUCCUCACCUUUCAGUGACUUCGUUGAUGGCGUUAAGGAGGUUGGCGGAGAGGUCGGCUACUAGCUUCCUCCUUUCUUCUCAGUUACCUGCCAUGUUAAAUUUGUGUGCACAAAAAAGUAUAGGGU